AUAAAAGCAACAUCACGAUUAAGAGGAAUCGUGAAACACACAAAACAAAUAGUGACCUGGCAACUCCUCCAUUUUAACCGACCUGCCCUAUAAAUACUUCGAGGACGAGCUUAGGCGAGUCAGUGAAGGAAUAAGAAGGAAGGUGUACGCACGAUGAACAAGCAGAUUUUCCUACUCUUUUUGGUAUUGUCGUCCGCUCUGCUGGUGCACGAGGCGCGAGCGGGGCCCCUGCCGAAGGAAUGCGAGCCUCCCACCCUCGAUUGCCCGUCGGCGAGGCGCGCGAGGGCAGCAGCAAAAUUCUGUGUCUGUAUUAUAUCGCCUUGUCCCUGUGACCGAUUUGGCGGAUAAACAUAUUUGGAUCAACGUCUGUUAAAAGGACUUCGGUUACCAAUAAAUGCUCUCUCAAUGUUG
Penaeus chinensis is the source of this 411-nucleotide long non-coding RNA. RefSeq lists it as uncharacterized. NCBI's taxonomy places the organism in Eukaryota, Metazoa, Arthropoda, Malacostraca, Decapoda, Penaeidae. The record is from RefSeq and is a predicted model, not a curated record. The transcript has 3 exons.